UACGUAGGGGGCGAGCGUUGUCCGGAUUUAUUGGGCGUAAAGAGCGUGUAGGCGGCCAGGUAGGUCCGUUGUGAAAACUCGAGGCUCAACCUCGAGACGUCGGCGGAAACCCUCUGGCUAGAGUCCGGAAGAGGCGAGUGGAAUUCCUGGUGUAGCGGUGAAAUGCGCAGAUAUCAGGAGGAACACCAAUUGCGAAGGCAGCUCGCUGGGACGUAACUGACGCUGAGACGCGAAAGCGUGGGGAGCAAACAGG
Molecule: ribosomal RNA, 253 nt
Filed under: uncultured bacterium
Lineage: Bacteria
Description: partial 16S ribosomal RNA
Rfam family: Bacterial small subunit ribosomal RNA
Source: RNAcentral